Long non-coding RNA from Oncorhynchus tshawytscha (Chinook salmon), 1328 nucleotides. RefSeq lists it as uncharacterized. The transcript has 3 exons. The record is from RefSeq and is a predicted model, not a curated record. Lineage: Eukaryota; Metazoa; Chordata; Actinopteri; Salmoniformes; Salmonidae.
UUGGGGAGGUCCCAGCACGAGGGCGCAACACCAUAUAUCAAAUCCUUUCAGCUCUUGGCGAUGUCGUGGUCAUAUAGCCUACGACUGGGCAAUAACAUCAGCAAGUCCGUUUACAGAGAAUGGAUAUUUUGAGGACUGUCGCUCAGACUGGGAAACAUCGCAUUUAUCCACGAAAAGAAGCUUAGGAGAAUCACUGGCACCGUGGCACGAGUGCUACACUGUUGCGUUUUUCUUAUUUAGGAGAAAACAACAUUUCAAGUUAUUUUGAAAGAAAAUGGUGCAAUUCGUCCCCAAGGAUAUUCUUUCUAAAUUUGGGGAUUGUGCAAUACCAGCGCCACUGAUCAAAAAGAGGGGCGGUGGUGGUGUGAUGAGCAGCAGCGAACUUCAACUUCGCACACAUCUCCAAUCUCUCCCAUACACUCCUCAUCAAGCGAGGGUUUUGCGCGAAGUCAUCUUGCUGUCCAAGGGAUGCGGACGAGACAUCACGGAUCCUACCGUGUUGCGUGUUUAUGCCGAACAUGUUUGUGACAUUGGAGAAUAUCAGGUUCAGGCAGUCUAGAGGCCUUGUGAUCCGACUGAGCCCCGGCUUUGUGGGAUACUCUAGGACGCCAGCAUUAAGAUAACGAGACAGUCACGAGUGGUUUACCAGAUGGCUUCCAUGGAGUUUCUCAACCUCCACCAAAUAGGGAAUUGCCAUUGACAGCAAGUAAACAGCCAGAACACCAACUGCCGCCAACGUAAACAUCUUAAGGUAGCAAGCGUCUCUGCUACAUUCAAAACCACGGCUGCAGUUGUCAGGUAAAAGCAACAUCCUCCUUACACUACCUCUCAAACGCUUUCACAACCCAGACUCAACUCUUAUAAUCUCUAUCCCAAAUGUUGAAUUAACGUUGAAUGAAUGUAUUCACUGUAUACAUAUUAUCUGUAUAGGCUGGGUUAAAGGUCAUAAAGCAUCCAAUGACGGGUGGAAAUGAAGACCACACAGCUUGAAGAGAUCAGGUUGAAGAGGGAGGACAUAUUUAACUUAUGGGUCAUAGGUCAAACUCUCCCCCUUUCCAUCUCCCCCGCUCUCUUUCACUCUCUAUCAAGGCAUGAGGCGAGACCCAGAUGCAGGCACAGGAGGCAGAUGGUUGGAGUCUUACAAUGUUUAAUAAUCCAAAGGGGUAGGCAAGAAAAUGGACGUGGACAGGACACAAAGUAAAAACCAGGAGUCCAGGAGGUACAGAGUGGCAUACAGGCUUGUGGUCAAGGCAGGCAGAAUGGUCAGGCAGGCGGGUACAGAGUCCAGAAACAGGCAAGGGUCAAAACCAGGAGGACUAGAAAAAGGA